UAACCUGCCUUGGAUGGGGAAUAACAGUUGGAAACAGCUGCUAAUACCGCAUAAUGCAGUUGAGUCGCAUGGCUCUGACUGCCAAAGAUUUAUCGCUCUGAGAUGGACUCGCGUCUGAUUAGCUAGUUGGUGGGGCAACGGCCCACCAAGGCGACGAUCAGUAGCCGGACUGAGAGGUUGGCCGGCCACAUUGGGACUGAGACACGGCCCAGACUCCUACGGAAGGCAGCAG
RNAcentral lists this ribosomal RNA (232 nucleotides) under uncultured bacterium. RNAcentral describes it as "partial 16S ribosomal RNA". It matches the Rfam family "Bacterial small subunit ribosomal RNA", at positions 122 to 354 of the family's 1533-position model. The record is from RNAcentral.